This 1022-nucleotide long non-coding RNA is filed under the name Pogona vitticeps (central bearded dragon). Its description in RNAcentral is "lncRNA (ENSPVIG00000014284.1)". Lineage: Eukaryota; Metazoa; Chordata; Lepidosauria; Squamata; Agamidae. The record is from RNAcentral.
GUGAGCCCAUAAAGUUUUAGAACGUUGUGAUGAUAAGAACGACCAUGGCAACAGCAACAACAACUAUGAUGAUGUAGUGUUGUCAAGUUGAUUUGAACUUAUGGUGAUACUUCUCAGGGUUUUUAAAAAAUCUAUACCCAGAAGUGGUUUUUUCCCCCAUUUCCUUCUUAUGGGGUUACACUGGGACUAUGUAAUUUGCAAGAGACACAGUGGAGAAUUGAACUCCUGACUGACCCCAGACGUGACACCUUCCAUAGAAUAUUGUUGGAACCUCAUUGGGCUUCUGUGGCACCAAGGCCAUUCCACUCAGUUAUGCUACUGCAUAACCCAUUCCUGGACAGAAAGAAGCAAGCUUGUGAUCCAUGCGCUGGAGAAGAACAAAAUUCUUGAAGGAUCCUCAGUCUUCUUCUCCUAGAAAGAGAUGGAGGUGUUUUGGAAAACAGGGGGGUCACCGAGGCUUCAGCUGUCUUUUGCAUUGCUUUCAGCAAAUCCGUGACCCGAAAACACCUGAACAAGGCAAACCUUCUCAGCAGACAAUAAAUAAGUCAGUCUAAUUUAAGACUCAGAGCAGUGCAGCACACCCAGAAAUUGAAUUGGCUGCUUUCCUCCUUUGCCCAAGGUUCCUUUCCUGCUGGUCAGGGAGACAGGUGCUUCGAAUUAUUUCACUUCUGACUGGUAGGUUAAAGGGAAGCAAUCACCUUGAUUGCACAAAAGAGAUCCCAGUAACCAAUUUCUUUGUGUGUGUGUCCCUGACAUCCAAACUUCUCCUCAGGCAAUUACUUGCAGAAGGUCUCAUUGGUCACCUAUUAGUCAUGGGGAUGUUAUACAAAAGCCCAAAGCAACCUGCAUAUCUUUCUUGGUCUGCCCUUAAUUUCAUGUUGAGUGUCACUUCAGAGUUAAGAAAGAAGUCUGCAGUGGCCUUGAGUAACAGCUGAAGGUGGAAGAUUGUCUGAGGUGGAAAACUGCUCAUUGAAGACUACAUUCCCAGCAAGUGCUUGAGGAGAUCAAAGUCUUAUUUGUCC